This is a non-coding RNA of Oryzias latipes (Japanese medaka), 2875 nucleotides long. The record is from RefSeq and is a predicted model, not a curated record. NCBI's taxonomy places the organism in Eukaryota, Metazoa, Chordata, Actinopteri, Beloniformes, Adrianichthyidae.
UCAGGUGACACAAAGGGGUAGGAACCUUUGUAUGGGUGGAUUUGUACCUGGAGGGAAGAGCAAUAAAAGCGGAACCUGUGUGAAGCUACCAGCGUGUCUCGUGUGUUGGUGAUAUAAAAAUAUAUAAACUCAGCCACUUGAACAUGGUGUCAGAAGUGAACCCAGGAGGGGUUUGAACUGAAGAACUCAGGAUAAAAAUAAUAGUGUGGAUUUUGCCGCUCGUAGUCGCCAUCGAAGUCCGGGACGGCCGCCAUGAGUCGAUUCCAGGUACCCCCACCUCAGAAGUUUUCCUUCAAGGCAGAUGACUGGCCUAAGUGGAUAAAGCGUUUUGAAAGGUUCCGGAUUGCGUCUGGUUUGGAGACUCAAGCCGAGGAGAACCAAGUGAACGCGCUGAUUUAUUCCAUGGGGGAGGAAGCCGAGGAUAUUCUGGUCUCGCUGCACCUGAGUCCGGAGGAGGCAGUCGACUUCCACACAGUCAAGACAAGGCUGGACACUCAUUUCGUGGCUCGCAGAAAUAUAAUUUUUGAAAGAGCAAAGUUCAACCAACGACAGCAGGAGAUGGAAGAGACGGUCGACAGCUUCCACACUGCGCUGCAAUGCCUGGCGGAGCACUGCGGCUACGGCGCUCUUCACAGCGAGAUGGUGAGAGACAGAUUUGUUGUGGGUUUGAAAGACAAACGGUUAUCGGAACAACUACAGAUGGAUCCAGAGCUGACGUUAGAAAACGCAGUUAAUAGAGCACGACAGAGUGAGCAGGUUAAAAGGCAGCAAGAGAUGCUUCACAGUAACUUCAGAGCGGAUGUGCAAGUGGAUGGCGUGCACGCGCGUCAACACGGCGGCGCGCGAGCGAAGACAAGAGCACCGCCAAAAGUAAUGACACACACACAGGACACAGUAAUUCAGUGCACAAGAUGUGGAGAUUCAAGAGGACAUAGCAUGCAGCAAUGCCCAGCACGUGAAGCAGUGUGCAAUCAGUGCAGGAAAAAGGGACAUUAUGCAAGAGUCUGCAGAACCAAACAGAGGAAAGACAUGAAAAUUGCUAUGGUGACAGAGGACUCAAAUGAUGGAUUUGCUUUUUUAGGUUCAAUGUCUGAUAAAAACACAAUAAGUCCUUGGAUCACAGAAGUGGAUGUGAACAGCCAUAGCACAGUGUUUAAAAUUGACACUGGAGCUGAUGUGACUGCAGUUUCAGAGACGUUGUACAAAGGACAGUUUGGCAAGCUGGAGAAGCCAACAAAAGUCUUACGAGGACCAGGAGGUUCACGGUUACAAGUCCAAGAAAAUGAAGUGGAUGGGUAAACAAUAGAAUGUGGCCUCACAGAGAACAUGAUCUCAUAUUUAUUUCAGAGCUCCUUUUAAAAAAACAGGCCAAGUUUGAAAAAUUUGUACACGAAAUGAGGGAGGUGGUAACAAUACCACCAGAAACCGUGCCAGCAGAAUCCUUUCAAAAAACUUCGACUACAGAAAUAAAUGCAACAAGUGGUAGACUGCCUUCUGGAUUUGCCAUUCCACCAUUUCCUAGAGAUCUUCAGGCCAAGCUUGAUAACAAAGAACCAUGCCAUAAGUCCUCUAAGGAUAGACACAGAAUUAUUAGAGUUCUUCAUGAAGCCAUGAUAGAACACACAAUCGAGGCGGAGUCCUUCUGGGUCAGCUGCGUCCGGGAGUUGGCCAGUUCGUUCUGUCAUGAUACUGCAGAGAUGAGGUUGAUCGAGGCAGGAAGCGAUCCGGACGUGGACGUGACUGAUGGCGUGGCUGGAGGGCUUAAUGCAGUUAGCGUUUGCCGUGGUGUCUUCCAGGUUCCUGGGCGGCUGAGUGGAUGAUCCACGCUGACUUCACUCGUGAUUAAAGUUGCAACACAGCAAACCGGACCAAGAAACCACAACUCUUCAAAGAAAACACGGCACUGCUCCUGUAAAACAAAGACGGUUGGAAAACCUGGACCGGAUCCCCUCCACAAAGGACUGGAUAUAGGAAACAACGUCCAACGUCCCAGGAACCCGGAACGGAUUUCUAAGGAGUACUGGACUGAACAAGAAAACAAAAGGUACUCAGGAGAACUAGACUGUGUGGCCUUGCUUUCUAACUUCAUUUCAGCAAUAUCCUCCUAAAGUAACAGUGACAAUAAAAGAAUUUAAACGAACUUUGGGCUUUUGUGUGUGUAAAGAGCAGAGGGUGUGGAUAACAUCCUUUGUGACAAUGGAUUUUUUUUGUAUCUUAUGUCAGGAGAGAGACCUGACUGGCACCUCAAAGAAAAGUCAUCCACAAACUGUCACAAGAGAAGCAUGUUUUUUCCUGUGCUGGAUAUUAUUAUGAUUAUUUAUUUAUUUUUAAUGUAAUUAUUGGCCAGGACUUACUUAUUUAUUUUAUUUUACAAUAGAUUCUGAAUUUCGUGCAGCAAUGAUUCUGCUGCCCCACAUCUUUAAAGAGAAAGGUGAGAGCUUUAUCAGACUUGAAGAGUGUGAUGCAGAUACUCCAUACCCAACCAUACAGCUGGUGGAAACUGACUGGAAAAUGGCUUUCUCCAAGAGGGUUCAAGGCUUUGUCAAAGUGGAUGGUGUGGAGGUAUGCAUGGCAAUAGGAGUUGAAGAAGGGAUAAUUGCAGCCUUUCAGUGCUUACUAUGUUUUCAACUUGGCUUAUCCACCCUACAUGAAAAAUACACUGACCUUUCUGCAGCAUGCCAUUGCAAAGAUUACUGAGGUGGGUGGCAAGCCCCUUCCAAUAACUAUCACCAGAAUAAUUAAUGUCCUGUGCUAAAAAUGCCACAACUAUAUCGAUGCACGGUGGCGCAGUGGUUAGCGCUCCUGCCUCACAGCAAGAAGGUUCAAGUCCCGGCUAGGGGACCUGAACCAGAACAUCAAUGGGGGACCUUUCUGU